GCCGGGGUAGCUCAAUCGGUAGAGCGUGUGGCUCUUAUGACUGCAAAAAGAUUACCUCAAGGUCGCGGGUUCGAGCCCCGCCUUCGGCU
Zasmidium cellare ATCC 36951 is the source of this 89-nucleotide non-coding RNA. Lineage: Eukaryota; Fungi; Ascomycota; Dothideomycetes; Mycosphaerellales; Mycosphaerellaceae. The record is from the annotation of a RefSeq genome assembly.